UCCAAGACCAACAGGAGCAUGUGGUAGC
Molecule: non-coding RNA, 28 nt
Filed under: Homo sapiens (human)
Lineage: Eukaryota; Metazoa; Chordata; Mammalia; Primates; Hominidae
Source: RNAcentral